UUUUAGACUCCUCACGCUUUCUAGAAAUUUUACAUCUUUCAGGGGGUGGUAGCUCUUUUCGGCAUGACAGAUGCUGAAGCUCACUCAAUUCUUUUCUGCUCAUAUAAUGACAAUACUGUUCGUAUAUAUGACUUGCCCUCGUUAGUAUCAUCAAACUACGAUCAUCUCUGUUGAUAUGAUUCACCCAUUUGUGCUGGUCUGUUGAUGGUUUUAAUUUUGGUUUUAGGUUUAAUGAAAGGGGCAGAAUAUUUUCUAAACAGCAAGUCCAAGUGAUUCAAAUUGGCAUUGGUGGUCUCUUUUUCACUGGUGAUGCAGCAGGACAGCUCUCCGUCUGGAAAUUGCUUGGAGUUCCAUGUGCAAUGGCAUCUUGAGUCGAUUUGAUCUGAACUACUAGCUGAAACUAUUGAUUCGUAUUUUUUAUUGCUGGCAUCCUCAUACUGAUGCAAGAUGAGCCCUUUCUAGAAAUAUUCUCAUAUCUGAUGUAUUUUUGGUAGAAAAAGCUACUGUGUAUUGUAAUACACGUUAGGGCAGCGAAUAUCAGUUUCCAACGAGAAAGACUGUUGUUAUCUUGUUUUGAGAGGGGCACUAAUCCUUUAAAUCUGGUACCAAGGGAAUUCGUUGGCAAUAUGCCUACGCUGAUUCAAAUUCAGCUCGGCCCAAUAUAAUGAGGCUACUAUGAAAUAUUUACUCAUGGGUGGGGAUCUCAUCCGAAUCGCCCCAUCUAUCCUCCUGAGGAGAAGUUUGGCUUCAAACCGCCGCAGCCCGCCAAUUAGUUAACCAUAGACAUUAAGAGAGGAAGACCCUUGUAUAUUGUCACUUGCUUCACAAUGUUAAAAAUCAUUUUUUUUUUCAUUUUUUUUCACAUCCAUGGGUUGGAGCAAUGUUUCUUCCAUGCUUUGUGUUGUGCUUCUCAAUUUUGUUUACAUGAUAGCUAAACAGCGUCUAAUUUUCUUAUUGACUCCAUUUUGUGUCUAUUCUUGAAUAGUUCUGUACUUGAUGUAUAUCUAGAUAGCGAAUUUGGUUAGGUUUCUCUAUAGUUGGAUGAUUAGGUUAUGUUCAUGAGCUUUCAAGAUGCUACAACAAAUAG
RNAcentral lists this long non-coding RNA (1087 nucleotides) under Olea europaea subsp. europaea. The record is from RNAcentral. Lineage: Eukaryota; Viridiplantae; Streptophyta; Magnoliopsida; Lamiales; Oleaceae.